RNAcentral lists this ribosomal RNA (425 nucleotides) under uncultured bacterium. RNAcentral describes it as "bacterial SSU rRNA". It matches the Rfam family "Bacterial small subunit ribosomal RNA", at positions 356 to 773 of the family's 1533-position model. The record is from RNAcentral.
GGGGAAUUUUGGACAAUGGGCGCAAGCCUGAUCCAGCCAUGCCGCGUGCAGGAUGAAGGCCUUCGGGUUGUAAACUGCUUUUGUACGGAACGAAAAGACUCCUUCUAAUAAAGGGGGUCCAUGACGGUACCGUAAGAAUAAGCACCGGCUAACUACGUGCCAGCAGCCGCGGUAAUACGUAGGGUGCGAGCGUUAAUCGGAAUUACUGGGCGUAAAGCGUGCGCAGGCGGUGAUGUAAGACAGAUGUGAAAUCCCCGGGCUCAACCUGGGAACUGCAUUUGUGACUGCAUCGCUGGAGUGCGGCAGAGGGGGAUGGAAUUCCGCGUGUAGCAGUGAAAUGCGUAGAUAUGCGGAGGAACACCGAUGGCGAAGGCAAUCCCCUGGGCCUGCACUGACGCUCAUGCACGAAAGCGUGGGGAGCAAAC